RNAcentral lists this long non-coding RNA (815 nucleotides) under Populus tremula. RNAcentral's name for it is "long non-coding RNA (PTRE_LNC000171)". Lineage: Eukaryota; Viridiplantae; Streptophyta; Magnoliopsida; Malpighiales; Salicaceae. The record is from RNAcentral.
AAACAAUAAGAGAAGGACGUGAGAAAUCAAGAGAAAAACAAGAAAAAGUGAGAGAGAGCUUUGAAACUUGUAAGAUUGAAAGACUUAGAACAUUAAAUUAAGGAAGAAUCAAGUGAAGGAAGACAUAAGAAAGGUGAGGAGGGCUGGCCACACUAGGAGGAGAAGAAAAGUUGGGAGAACUUAGCUUGGUAAGCAUGAAAAAUUUAGAUUAUUACUUGAAUGAAGUGUUUUUGGGUUUAUUUGAGUAAGUUAUCAAACAAUGACAAUUAAAUUUGACUUAAUUUCUUAUAUUCUUGAUUUUUGUUAAAUUAGGGUUCUUAUGAGAAUUUGGGGGUUUUGAGAAAAGUAGUAAACAUGAUGGAAUUGAGGUAGAAUAGUAUAGAAAUAGUGAAUGUAAGUAGCAAUUAAGAAAGAAAUUGAAUAAUUUUGAAGAAAAGAACUUGUAAUUAAGGAUGAGGAAAUAUAGGGAUGAAGUUUUGAUUGUUUUAUGUUUGAGAAAUGAUGUUCUUUAUCUUAUGUGAAGUAUUCAAAAUAUGAACAAGUGAAGAAACAUCAUGAGAAUGUGAAAAGAAGGAAUAAAUAAAUGGUGGAAUAGUUCAUGGGAGAAUUCUUUAAGUGAAGUAAAAGAAGAAAAUUGAUUAAAACUAUAUGUUGAAAAUGAAGUGAUAAAUGAAUGAAAAUUUUGGUGUAAACCCCAAUUAAAUAAAUAAAUAAAAAUAUUACGUGCUUCAAAUUUAGGCACGUAGGAGAAAUAAUAAUGUAGUGCAAUUUGAUUUAUUCAGGAGUUGUUUCGGGAGUAGGGCAUCAGGCAGGAG